GAUGAAGAACGCAGCGAAAUGCGAUACGUAAUGUGAAUUGCAGAAUUCAGUGAAUCAUCGAAUCUUUGAACGCAUAUUGCGCUCUCUGGUAUUCCGGAGAGCAUGCUUGUUUGAGUAUCAGUAAACACCUCAACUUCCAUAUCUUUUUUGAAAUGGGAGUUGGACUUGAGUGAUCCCAACGCUUUUCCUCACCGAAAAUUGGCGGGUUACUUGAAAUGCAGGUGCAGCUGGACUUUUCUCUGAGCUAUAAGCAUAUCUAUUUAGUCUGCCUAAAAAACAGAUUAUUACCUUUGCUGCAGCUAACAUAAAGGAGAUUAGUUCUUGUGCUGACUGAUGCAGGAUUCACAAAGACGGCUUCGGCCGACUUUGUAAACUCGAUCUCAAAUCAAGUAAGACUACCCGCUGAACUUAAGCAUAUCAAUAAGCGGAGGA
This 432-nucleotide unclassified non-coding RNA is filed under the name soil metagenome. RNAcentral describes it as "partial contains 5.8S ribosomal RNA, internal transcribed spacer 2, and large subunit ribosomal RNA". The stretch from base 1 to 120 matches the Rfam family "5.8S ribosomal RNA", at positions 35 to 154 of the family's 154-position model. The record is from RNAcentral.